RNAcentral lists this ribosomal RNA (1827 nucleotides) under Staphylococcus aureus subsp. aureus CIG290. RNAcentral's name for it is "bacterial LSU rRNA". It matches the Rfam family "Bacterial large subunit ribosomal RNA", at positions 1094 to 2925 of the family's 2925-position model. The record is from RNAcentral. Lineage: Bacteria; Bacillati; Bacillota; Bacilli; Caryophanales; Staphylococcaceae.
UAGGAUGUUGGCUUAGAAGCAGCCAUCAUUUAAAGAGUGCGUAAUAGCUCACUAGUCGAGUGACACUGCGCCGAAAAUGUACCGGGGCUAAACAUAUUACCGAAGCUGUGGAUAGUCCUUUGGACAAUGGUAGGAGAGCGUUCUAAGGGCGUUGAAGCAUGAUCGUAAGGACAUGUGGAGCGCUUAGAAGUGAGAAUGCCGGUGUGAGUAGCGAAAGACGGGUGAGAAUCCCGUCCACCGAUUGACUAAGGUUUCCAGAGGAAGGCUCGUCCGCUCUGGGUUAGUCGGGUCCUAAGCUGAGGCCGACAGGCGUAGGCGAUGGAUAACAGGUUGAUAUUCCUGUACCACCUAUAAUCGUUUUAAUCGAUGGGGGGACGCAGUAGGAUAGGCGAAGCGUGCGAUUGGAUUGCACGUCUAAGCAGUAAGGCUGAGUAUUAGGCAAAUCCGGUACUCGUUAAGGCUGAGCUGUGAUGGGGAGAAGACAUUGUGUCUUCGAGUCGUUGAUUUCACACUGCCGAGAAAAGCCUCUAGAUAGAAAAUAGGUGCCCGUACCGCAAACCGACACAGGUAGUCAAGAUGAGAAUUCUAAGGUGAGCGAGCGAACUCUCGUUAAGGAACUCGGCAAAAUGACCCCGUAACUUCGGGAGAAGGGGUGCUCUUUAGGGUUAACGCCCAGAAGAGCCGCAGUGAAUAGGCCCAAGCGACUGUUUAUCAAAAACACAGGUCUCUGCUAAACCGUAAGGUGAUGUAUAGGGGCUGACGCCUGCCCGGUGCUGGAAGGUUAAGAGGAGUGGUUAGCUUCUGCGAAGCUACGAAUCGAAGCCCCAGUAAACGGCGGCCGUAACUAUAACGGUCCUAAGGUAGCGAAAUUCCUUGUCGGGUAAGUUCCGACCCGCACGAAAGGCGUAACGAUUUGGGCACUGUCUCAACGAGAGACUCGGUGAAAUCAUAGUACCUGUGAAGAUGCAGGUUACCCGCGACAGGACGGAAAGACCCCGUGGAGCUUUACUGUAGCCUGAUAUUGAAAUUCGGCACAGCUUGUACAGGAUAGGUAGGAGCCUUUGAAACGUGAGCGCUAGCUUACGUGGAGGCGCUGGUGGGAUACUACCCUAGCUGUGUUGGCUUUCUAACCCGCACCACUUAUCGUGGUUGGAGACAGUGUCAGGCGGGCAGUUUGACUGGGGCGGUCGCCUCCUAAAAGGUAACGGAGGCGCUCAAAGGUUCCCUCAGAAUGGUUGGAAAUCAUUCAUAGAGUGUAAAGGCAUAAGGGAGCUUGACUGCGAGACCUACAAGUCGAGCAGGGUCGAAAGACGGACUUAGUGAUCCGGUGGUUCCGCAUGGAAGGGCCAUCGCUCAACGGAUAAAAGCUACCCCGGGGAUAACAGGCUUAUCUCCCCCAAGAGUUCACAUCGACGGGGAGGUUUGGCACCUCGAUGUCGGCUCAUCGCAUCCUGGGGCUGUAGUCGGUCCCAAGGGUUGGGCUGUUCGCCCAUUAAAGCGGUACGCGAGCUGGGUUCAGAACGUCGUGAGACAGUUCGGUCCCUAUCCGUCGUGGGCGUAGGAAAUUUGAGAGGAGCUGUCCUUAGUACGAGAGGACCGGGAUGGACAUACCUCUGGUGUACCAGUUGUCGUGCCAACGGCAUAGCUGGGUAGCUAUGUGUGGACGGGAUAAGUGCUGAAAGCAUCUAAGCAUGAAGCCCCCCUCAAGAUGAGAUUUCCCAACUUCGGUUAUAAGAUCCCUCAAAGAUGAUGAGGUUAAUAGGUUCGAGGUGGAAGCAUGGUGACAUGUGGAGCUGACGAAUACUAAUCGAUCGAAGACUUAAUCAA